Molecule: ribosomal RNA, 253 nt
Filed under: uncultured bacterium
Lineage: Bacteria
Description: partial 16S ribosomal RNA
Rfam family: Bacterial small subunit ribosomal RNA
Source: RNAcentral
UACGUAGGGUGCGAGCGUUAAUCGGAAUUACUGGGCGUAAAGCGUGCGCAGGCGGCUUUGCAAGACAGAUGUGAAAUCCCCGGGCUUAACCUGGGAAUGGCGCUUGUGACUGCAAAGCUGGAGUGCGGCAGAGGGGGAUGGAAUUCCGCGUGUAGCAGUGAAAUGCGUAGAUAUGCGGAGGAACACCGAUGGCGAAGGCAAUCCCCUGGGCCUGUACUGACGCUCAUGCACGAAAGCGUGGGGAGCAAACAGG